RNAcentral lists this ribosomal RNA (429 nucleotides) under uncultured archaeon. Its description in RNAcentral is "bacterial SSU rRNA". It matches the Rfam family "Archaeal small subunit ribosomal RNA", at positions 474 to 903 of the family's 1478-position model. The record is from RNAcentral.
AACCAGCUCUUCAAGUGGUCGGGAUGAUUAUUGGGCCUAAAGUGUCCGUAGCCGGUUUAGUAAGUUCCUGGUAAAAUCAGGUAGCUUAACUAUCUGUAUGCUAGGAAUACUACUAUACUAGAGGGCGGGAGAGGUCUGAGGUACUAUAGGGGUAGGGGUGAAAUCUUAUAAUCCUUGUAGGACCACCAGUGGCGAAGGCGUCAGACUGGAACGUGCCUGACGGUGAGGGACGAAAGCCAGGGGAGCGAACCGGAUUAGAUACCCGGGUAGUCCUGGCCGUAAGCGAUGCAUACUAGGUGAUGGCCCGGCCAUGAGCCGUGUCAGUACCGUAGGGAAACCGUUAAGUGUGCCGCCUGGGAAGUACGGUCGCAAGGCUAAAACUUAAAGGAAUUGGCGGGGGAGCACCACAAGGGGUGAAGCCUGCGGUUC